This 425-nucleotide ribosomal RNA is filed under the name uncultured bacterium. Its description in RNAcentral is "partial 16S ribosomal RNA". It matches the Rfam family "Bacterial small subunit ribosomal RNA", at positions 354 to 796 of the family's 1533-position model. The record is from RNAcentral.
GUGGGGAAUAUUGGACAAUGGGCGAAAGCCUGAUCCAGCAAUACCGCGUGAGUGAUGAAGGCCUUAGGGUUGUAAAGCUCUUUUACCAGGGAUGAUAAUGACAGUACCUGGAGAAUAAGCUCCGGCUAACUCCGUGCCAGCAGCCGCGGUAAUACGGAGGGAGCUAGCGUUGUUCGGAAUUACUGGGCGUAAAGCGCACGUAGGCGGUUACUCAAGUCAGAGGUGAAAGCCCGGGGCUCAACCCCGGAACUGCCUUUGAAACUAGGUAACUAGAAUCUUGGAGAGGUCAGUGGAAUUCCGAGUGUAGAGGUGAAAUUCGUAGAUAUUCGGAAGAACACCAGUGGCGAAGGCGACUGACUGGACAAGUAUUGACGCUGAGGUGCGAAAGCGUGGGGAGCAAACAGGAUUAGAUACCCCGGUAGUCC